RNAcentral lists this ribosomal RNA (249 nucleotides) under uncultured soil bacterium. RNAcentral's name for it is "partial 16S ribosomal RNA". It matches the Rfam family "Bacterial small subunit ribosomal RNA", at positions 26 to 287 of the family's 1533-position model. The record is from RNAcentral.
AGAUUGAACGCUGGCGGCAUGCCUAACACAUGCAAGUCGAACGGGAGUAGCAAUACUCUAGUGGCGGACGGGCGAGGAAUACGUAGGAAUUUGCCCUUAAGUGGGGGAUAACCCGGGGAAACCCGGAUUAAUACCGCAUGACCUCGAAAGAGCAAAGUGGGGGAUCGCAAGACCUCACGCUUUUGGAGAAGCCUACGUCGGAUUAGCUAGUUGGUGAGGUAAUGGCUCACCAAGGCGACGAUCCGUAAC